Molecule: ribosomal RNA, 885 nt
Filed under: uncultured bacterium
Lineage: Bacteria
Description: bacterial SSU rRNA
Rfam family: Bacterial small subunit ribosomal RNA
Source: RNAcentral
GGCGGCAGGCCCUAACACAUGCAAGUCGAGCGGAUGAAGGGAGCUUGCUCCUGGAUUCAGCGGCGGACGGGUGAGUAAUGCCUAGGAAUCUGCCUGGUAGUGGGGGAUAACGUCCGGAAACGGGCGCUAAUACCGCAUACGUCCUGAGGGAGAAAGUGGGGGAUCUUCGGACCUCACGCUAUCAGAUGAGCCUAGGUCGGAUUAGCUAGUUGGUGGGGUAAAGGCCUACCAAGGCGACGAUCCGUAACUGGUCUGAGAGGAUGAUCAGUCACACUGGAACUGAGACACGGUCCAGACUCCUACGGGAGGCAGCAGUGGGGAAUAUUGGACAAUGGGCGAAAGCCUGAUCCAGCCAUGCCGCGUGUGUGAAGAAGGUCUUCGGAUUGUAAAGCACUUUAAGUUGGGAGGAAGGGCAGUAAGUUAAUACCUUGCUGUUUUGACGUUACCAACAGAAUAAGCACCGGCUAACUUCGUGCCAGCAGCCGCGGUAAUACGAAGGGUGCAAGCGUUAAUCGGAAUUACUGGGCGUAAAGCGCGCGUAGGUGGUUCAGCAAGUUGGAUGUGAAAUCCCCGGGCUCAACCUGGGAACUGCAUCCAAAACUACUGAGCUAGAGUACGGUAGAGGGUGGUGGAAUUUCCUGUGUAGCGGUGAAAUGCGUAGAUAUAGGAAGGAACACCAGUGGCGAAGGCGACCACCUGGACUGAUACUGACACUGAGGUGCGAAAGCGUGGGGAGCAAACAGGAUUAGAUACCCUGGUAGUCCACGCCGUAAACGAUGUCGACUAGCCGUUGGGAUCCUUGAGAUCUUAGUGGCGCAGCUAACGCGAUAAGUCGACCGCCUGGGGAGUACGGCCGCAAGGUUAAAACUUAAAGGAAUUGACGGU